RNAcentral lists this ribosomal RNA (444 nucleotides) under uncultured bacterium. RNAcentral's name for it is "SSU rRNA". It matches the Rfam family "Bacterial small subunit ribosomal RNA", at positions 26 to 518 of the family's 1533-position model. The record is from RNAcentral.
AGAGCGAACGCUGGCGGCAGGCCUAACACAUGCAAGUCGAGCGCCCCGCAAGGGGAGCGGCAGACGGGAGAGUAACACGUGGGAACGUACCCUUCAGUUCGGAACAACCCAGGGAAACUUGGGCUAAUACCGAAUACGUCCGUAAGGAGAAAGAUUUAUCGCUGAAGGAUCGGCCCGCGUCUGAUUAGCUUGUUGGUGAGGUAAUGGCUCACCAAGGCUACGAUCAGUAGCUGGUCUGAGAGGAUGAUCAGCCACACUGGGAUUGAGAACGGCCCAGACUCCUACGGGGGGCAGCAGUGAGGAAUUUUCCGCAAUGGGCGCAAGCCUGACGGAGCAACGCCGCGUGCAGGAAGACGGUUUUCGGAUCGUAAACUGCUUUUCUCGGGGACGAGAACGGACGGUACCCGAGGAAUCAGCCCCGGCUAACUACGUGCCAGCAGCCGC